This 459-nucleotide ribosomal RNA is filed under the name uncultured bacterium. RNAcentral's name for it is "partial 16S ribosomal RNA". It matches the Rfam family "Bacterial small subunit ribosomal RNA", at positions 479 to 918 of the family's 1533-position model. The record is from RNAcentral.
CCACAGGAACAGCCCCGGCUAACUACGUGCCAGCAGCCGCGGUAAUACGUAGGGGGCGAGCGUUGUCCGGAGUUACUGGGCGUAAAGGGUCCGCAGGCGGUUGCGUGCGUUUGUGGUGACAGCGGUCGGCUUAACUGACCGAGGGCCYACGAAGACGGCGCAGCUCGAGGGCCYAGAGAGGGACYAUGGAACCCCCGGGUGGAGUGGUGAAAAUGCGUAGAGAUCCGGAAAGAACYACCGAAGGCGAAGGCRAAUGUCYCUGGCUGGUACCUGACGYWCGGGGACGAAAAGCGAGGGGAGCGAACGGGAUUAGAUACCCCGGUAGUCCYWCGCCCUAAACGAUGACCCACUAGGUGUGCGGCGUAUCGACCCGCUGCGUGCCGACGCMAACGCMAAUAAAGUGGUCCGCYCUGGGGAGUACGGUCGCCAAGAUUAAAACUCRAAAGGAAAUUGACGGGG